Molecule: ribosomal RNA, 693 nt
Filed under: uncultured bacterium
Lineage: Bacteria
Description: bacterial SSU rRNA
Rfam family: Bacterial small subunit ribosomal RNA
Source: RNAcentral
UAGUUUGAUCCUGGCUCAGGACGAACGCUGGCGGCGCGCUUAACACAUGCAAGUCGAGCGAGAACCGGGCCUUCGGGCCCGGGGACAGCGGCGAACGGGUGAGUAACACGUGAGUAAUCUGCCCUCGGCAUCGGGAUAGCCCGGGGAAACCCGGAUUAAUACCGAAUAGCCUCCGGAGCUUUCGAGCGCCGGAGAAAAGGUAGCUUCGGCCUCUGGCCGAGGAGGAGCUCGCGGCGGAUUAGCUUGUUGGCGGGGUAACGGCCCACCAAGGCGACGAUCCGUAGCUGGUCUGAGAGGACGAUCAGCCACACUGGGACUGAGACACGGCCCAGACUCCUACGGGAGGCAGCAGUGGGGAAUCUUGCGCAAUGGGCGACAGCCUGACGCAGCGACGCCGCGUGCGGGAAGAAGGCCUUCGGGUUGUAAACCGCUUUCAGGAGGGACGAAGCCACUCGGGUGAAUAGCCCAGAGGGUGACGGUACCUCCAGAAGAAGCCCCGGCUAACUACGUGCCAGCAGCCGCGGUAAUACGUAGGGGGCAAGCGUUGUCCGGAUUUAUUGGGCGUAAAGAGCGUGUAGGCGGCCAGGCAGGUCCGCUGUGAAAACUCGAGGCUCAACCUCGAGAUGUCGGUGGAAACCGCCUGGCUAGAGUCCGGAAGAGGAGAGUGGAAUUCCUGGUGUAGCGGUGAAAUGC